This 161-nucleotide ribosomal RNA is filed under the name Wollastonia biflora. Its description in RNAcentral is "5.8S ribosomal RNA". It matches the Rfam family "5.8S ribosomal RNA". From Rfam's summary of the family: 5.8S ribosomal RNA (5.8S rRNA) is a component of the large subunit of the eukaryotic ribosome. It is transcribed by RNA polymerase I as part of the 45S precursor that also contains 18S and 28S rRNA. The record is from RNAcentral. Lineage: Eukaryota; Viridiplantae; Streptophyta; Magnoliopsida; Asterales; Asteraceae.
UAAACGACUCUCGGCAACGGAUAUCUCGGCUCACGCAUCGAUGAAGAACGUAGCAAAAUGCGAUACUUGGUGUGAAUUGCAGAAUCCCGUGAACCAUCGAGUUUUUGAACGCAAGUUGCGCCCGAAGCCUCGGCUGAGGGCACGUCUGCCUGGGCGUCACG